Molecule: ribosomal RNA, 254 nt
Filed under: uncultured bacterium
Lineage: Bacteria
Also listed under: 1 other name
Description: partial 16S ribosomal RNA
Rfam family: Bacterial small subunit ribosomal RNA
Source: RNAcentral
GACGGAGGGUGCUAGCGUUGUUCGGAAUCACUGGGCGUAAAGGGCGCGUAGGCGGCCUUGCAAGUCGGUUGGUGAAAGCCCGGGGCUCAACCCCGGAGGUGCGGCCGAGACUGCAGGGCUGGAGGCCGGAAGAGGAGGGUGGAAUACCCAGUGUAGAGGUGAAAUUCGUAGAUAUUGGGUGGAACACCGGUGGCGAAAGCGGCUCUCUGGUCCGGACCUGACGCUGAGGCGCGAAAGCGUGGGGAGCAAACAGG